UCUCCUGCUGGGUCCUGUAGAACCCAGUAAGUAGCAUGGGAAAUUUUGUUGUGUGCUGUUGCCCAGGAUCGGAAGAGCACACG
Long non-coding RNA from Lepidothrix coronata (blue-crowned manakin), 83 nucleotides. RefSeq lists it as uncharacterized. The transcript has 3 exons. Lineage: Eukaryota; Metazoa; Chordata; Aves; Passeriformes; Pipridae. The record is from RefSeq and is a predicted model, not a curated record.